UGUACUGGUCUUUAGUUUUAGGUUGGUUUGCUAUUUGAAUCUGAGACCUUGUCGGAUUUGGACUGCUUGGAGAGGUUGUCGGGUUUGCUCAUCACUUUCUCUCCUUGCUUGGGAUAUUUCUUCAGCUUCGAAUCUGUUUUCUGGUGCGCGGUAUGCAGGUCUAAACCGCCUAUAAUGUGGGUGGCUACUUCUUCCAUCAGAUUUGGUGAAAUAUUCUUCAUAAGGUUUCGGUGAUGUAGUGUUUUCGAAGGCCUUCUCUUUGUCCCUUGACGUCCUUGUCUACGAUUAUCUUAGCUUUGGCUUGUGUUCUAACGUUUGAUUGUUAACAAGAUUUCUUUGACUUUCUGGAGUGUGGUGGUCUUAAGCAUUGAUGGCUAGUGUCUUCAUAGUGCCUUCGGUUAGGAUCCCCUUGCCUUCAUCUAUGGUAUUGACAUCUAUCCUCUGUGGCGUCAUGUUGCUUACCGGGAUUCGUAUGCGGUAAGGCCUUGCUCGACCUGUGGUUUAUUGGAGUAUUGUCUUUGUGAAGCAAUGAUGCUGUGAAGUUGUGAUGUUCCUUGGUUUUUAACUGACGGGUUCUCCGGAUUUCUUGGUAAGGAAUUGGGAAGCUAGCUUUAGCUCAAUCACGAUUGGUCUUUGAGUAGUUUGAUUGUAAACUGAGUUCUUCUUCGUCGGAUGCUCGGGUGGAGAUCAGUUAUCUUGUGGCUUCCCUCAGUUGAAGCUUGUUCUUGAGUGGCUGGUGCUCGUAGUUCCGUAUCGGAACUGUUGUUGGAGCUUUGCUAUCACCCCAAUAAUUUAGACCAUCAUCGCUUUCUCUCUCAUUCCGGCUUCCAUCAUCGUGGCUUCUCAUUCUUGAUACUUGUUUUUAACUCCAAAAGUUUCUUCUGGUCUUGUUCCCUUCUAGAUUUAAGUCUUCUCAGUUGUUGUCUUGGUCCUUUUCUUGAUUCCAAAUAGUAAUGUCUACUAUGCUGGCUGUUGGCUCUGGAAAGGUUUUCAUACCUUUGCGAGCUUUGUGUACUUCCCGUUUAAGUUUUAAUAUUAAUCCACCAGAUGACAAAAAAAAAAUCUCUAGGAGUAGGUCGGAACAGCAACGUGAUCUCCAACGAGUAUCAUGUGUCUUUAUAGUCGUCUCAUCCUAUUCAAACUUAAGGGGGUGUAUUGAAAGAAAGAUUCGAAGAGAUUGUGGGAUUUGGUUAAAACCCCUUGUUAUUCAACUAAUAAUUUUCAGAAAAAGUUUCAAAUCAUGUGUUAUUCAAUAAGGAGUUUGUGCAAAGUUAUCAAACCUCACUUAAAAUCAUCUAUUAUUCAAUUAAUCAUUUAUAAAAACUGUAUGAAAUCAACUGUUAUUCAAAGCUAAACAGUAUUUACAAAAGAAAAUUGUGAAAAAGGAUUUGAAGAGACUUUACAUCAUUUUAUAGUUAAAAACAUCUUCGUUAGAAUAACAUCUCUAUAGGUGGCAAUUGAAGAGAAAUAAAAAAAAACAUUCUUGAGGAGUACUGUCGUUCAUCUCUCUGUUCGAUUUAUUUCUUCCUGAAAUCUUUCACCACCAUUAAUUUACAGUAGAUAAAUUGAUGGUUUGAGCUGACACCUUGGAUCACACCGAGCUGCUUUUUUCUCUACCUGGAAUCUCAUAAACGAUGAACCAGUUCUUUAAAAUUCUUCUUUAGCCAUCUCUCUUGUUUUUCCUCCCAGUCUAUAAAUGGGUGGCCUUCACAAGUUGAAUUAGUGAUAAAUUUAUGAGAUUUAUUAAUCUCAUAUUUCAUUUUCAUCUAGGGAUUAAUGAAAGAUGGGAACUAAACUGUUUUGUUAAACCGAAUCAAGUCGGAGAUUUCAUACAUAGAGCAGUAUAUGAUGCAAGACAUGGCUUCUUGAGCAGUAUAUGAUGCAAAACAAGGACCACGAUCGGUUGGGGUUUGGAUAGAAGCAUGAGUUCAGCUUGCUUGAAGGAGGAAGGCGUAUAUGAAGUUACUCGAGAGAGUUUACAAGCAGAGUGAUGUUUCUCAGUUCGGUUGAAGCUUUGACUUCUGUAAUCUUUGAUAUAUGUCUACUUCGCACCAAACAUGCCAUUUACUCUCUGUUUCUGUUGUUAUAUUAAAUCAUGAGCUACCUUUAUCUACCAGCCUACAUAGAAACUGGAUAGCCUCAGCCAUUAUCUGGUCCGGUUGUUCUUUCUUUGAAAACUUGAAAUAGAGAAACAGUGGGUUCCUUGUAACAUUGUUCAUGCUUCUAGAUUGUUUUUUUUAUGAACUCUUAAUGCUAUAAAGUGCAUCAUUUGUCUAUGCAUCUACACUGUUUCGAGAACGUUUUAACAUUAAUUAGAAGGAAUAUGACGUGGUAUAGGUUCCGGAACAAGUGGUGGAUGUAUCAGUAGUGAUGCCGACAGAGAAGCUGCCACUGCACAUAGCUUUGCUAGUUCUUUAAACUUGGAGGAGAGGAAGAAUUUACUACCUCUCCAUCUUUAAAAUAGUAGUGCUAGUAACUCUUGUUUUGUUUUUGACUCAUUCUGUAUAUUAGUAUUGGACUGUUGGUAAUAUAUAUAUAUUAAUAU
Molecule: long non-coding RNA, 2545 nt
Organism: Brassica napus (rape)
Lineage: Eukaryota; Viridiplantae; Streptophyta; Magnoliopsida; Brassicales; Brassicaceae
Exons: 2
Source: RefSeq, a predicted model, not a curated record